Molecule: RNA transcript, 4038 nt
Organism: Trifolium pratense (red clover)
Lineage: Eukaryota; Viridiplantae; Streptophyta; Magnoliopsida; Fabales; Fabaceae
Gene name: coatomer subunit beta'-2
Exons: 25
Source: RefSeq, a predicted model, not a curated record
UCUACGUAUGAACAUUACCCCACACGAUUAUAGAUCCAGUGGCAUUUUAGUAAUCUCACUUUAACUACAAAUCUUUCAUCACCUUCCCCAUUGUAUUUACACUCUGAUCUCUCAAACCAAAAAACACUUUUCUCCCCAUUCACUGACCUCAUCGGAGAAUUCAGUUUCCGAUCUCCGACGAUUGAUCUCUACAGAGGCUAGUUCAAUCUCAAUUCCACAACAAUGCCUCUCAGACUCGAAAUCAAGCGAAAGCUUGCGCAGAGAUCAGAAAGAGUGAAAUGUGUGGAUCUACAUCCAACAGAACCAUGGAUUCUGGCAAGUUUAUACUCUGGAACAGUCUGUAUCUGGAACUACCAAUCUCAGACCAUGGCCAAAUCUUUCGAGGUCACUGAGUUACCAGUUAGAUCAGCCAAGUUUGUUGCACGCAAACAGUGGGUUGUUGCUGGAGCUGAUGAUAUGUUUAUUCGUGUAUAUAAUUACAAUACAAUGGAUAAAGUCAAAGUAUUUGAAGCACAUACAGAUUACAUUAGGUGUGUGGCAGUUCAUCCCACCCUUCCUUAUGUUCUAUCAUCAUCUGAUGAUAUGCUCAUAAAGCUUUGGGAUUGGGAAAAAGGCUGGAUUUGUACCCAGAUAUUUGAAGGACAUUCUCAUUAUGUUAUGCAAGUGACAUUUAAUCCUAAAGACACAAAUACCUUUGCCAGUGCAUCUCUUGAUCGUACUAUAAAGAUUUGGAAUCUUGGCUCUCCUGAUCCUAAUUUUACAUUGGAUGCUCACCAGAAAGGAGUGAAUUGCGUUGAUUACUUUACAGGCGGUGACAAACCCUAUCUAAUAACCGGUUCUGACGAUCACACUGCAAAGGUGUGGGAUUAUCAGACUAAAAGUUGUGUCCAGACCCUGGAUGGUCACACACACAAUGUUUCUGCUGUAUGCUUUCAUCCUGAACUUCCUAUAAUAAUUACUGGUUCUGAGGACGGUACAGUGCGCAUAUGGCACUCAACAACUUAUAGGCUUGAGAAUACAUUGAACUAUGGUCUUGAAAGAGUUUGGGCUAUUGGAUACAUGAAGAGUUCACGUCGGGUUGUGAUUGGAUAUGACGAAGGAACAAUUAUGGUCAAACUUGGUCGAGAAGUACCUGUAGCUAGCAUGGACAACAGUGGAAAAAUUAUUUGGGCUAAACAUAAUGAAAUUCAGACUGUCAAUAUAAAGAGCAUAGGAGCAGAUUUGGAGGUUGCUGAUGGAGAAAGGUUGCCUUUGGCUGUUAAGGAGCUGGGCACUUGUGAUCUUUACCCACAAAAUUUAAAGCACAAUCCUAAUGGAAGGUUCGUUGUUGUAUGUGGAGAUGGUGAGUAUAUUAUAUACACUGCAUUGGCAUGGAGAAAUAGGUCAUUUGGUUCAGCGCUAGAGUUUGCUUGGUCUACGGAUGGAGAAUAUGCCGUCAGAGAAAGUACUUCAAAAAUUAAAAUUUUCAGCAAAAGUUUCCAGGAAAAGAAGAGUGUCCGACCGACAUUUUCAGCCGAACGAAUAUUUGGUGGCACUUUACUGGCAAUAUGUUCAAAUGAUUUCAUCUGCUUCUAUGAUUGGUCUGAAUGCAGGUUGAUUUACCGCAUUGAUGUCAAUGUGAAAAACCUCUACUGGGCUGAUAGUGGUGACCUAGUAACAAUUGCUAGUGAUACAUCAUUCUACAUCCUGAAGUACAAUCGUGAUGUUGUUGCGUCACAUAUAGAUAGUGGUAGACCCGUAGAUGAGGAAGGUGUUGAAGAUGCUUUUGAGCUUCUUCAUGAAAUGAAUGAACGUGUAAGGACAGGUAUCUGGGUUGGGGAUUGCUUUAUCUACAACAAUUCCUCUUGGAGACUUAAUUACUGUGUUGGCGGAGAGGUGACUACAAUGUUCCAUUUGGACCGCCCUAUGUACUUGUUGGGAUAUCUUGCAAACCAAAGUCGGGUGUUUUUGAUUGACAAAGAAUUUAAUGUUGUGGGAUACACACUGCUUUUGAGUUUGAUAGAGUACAAGACACUUGUGAUGCGCGGUGAUUUGGAAAGGGCUAAUGAAGUUCUACCAUCAAUUCCUAAAGAGCAUCAUAACAGUGUUGCUCGAUUCCUGGAAUCACGGGGGAUGAUAGAGGAUGCUCUUGAAGUAGCUACAGACCCUGACUACAGAUUUGAUCUAGCAAUACAGCUUGGGAGAUUAGAAGUUGCAAAGGGCAUUGCACUAGAGGUGCAGAGUGAGUCUAAAUGGAAGCAGCUGGGAGAAUUAGCUAUGUCUUCUGGAAAGUUACAAAUGGCUGAGGAAUGUUUGAAUCAUGCAAUGGAUUUGAGUGGGUUGUUACUGCUAUAUUCUUCUUUCGGAGAUGCUGAAGGAAUUUCAAAACUUGCAACCCUUGCUAAGGAGCAAGGGAAGAACAAUGUUGCAUUCCUUUGCUUAUUUAUGUUGGGUAAACUUGAAGACUGCCUUCAACUAUUGAUAGAAAGUAAUCGAAUUCCAGAGGCAGCUUUAAUGGCUCGAUCCUAUCUCCCAAGUAAGGUCCCAGAGAUAGUGGCAAUUUGGAGAAAAGAUCUCAAUAAGGUUAAUCCAAAAGCUGCUGAAUCAUUGGCUGAUCCUGAGGAAUAUCCAAAUUUGUUUGAAGACUGGCAGGUUGCACUUGCUGUUGAAUCUAAAGCUGCAGAAACAAUGAAUGUUUACCCUCCAGCGGAGCAGUACAUCAACCAUGCUGACAAACCACAUAUUACCCUUGUUGAAGCUUUCAGAAACAUGCAGAUUGAAGAGGAGGAGCCCCUUGAGAAUGGAGAAUCUAAUCAUGAGUUGACUGAACAAAAUGAAGAACACUAUGCAGAAGAACAUAAUGGAGAGGAAGGAAGCCAAGAAGAGGCUGUUGUAGUGGAUGCCGAAUCAACAGAUGGUGCGGUACUCGUCAACGGUAACGAGGCUGACGAAGAGUGGGGUACGAAUAAUGAAGGAGCCCCGUCAGCCUAAAAGCAAUUGGUUGGGGUGGUGUGAAAAUCGAAAUUUUGUCUCUGGUGAUUAAUUGAUUCUGAAGUGCCAUUUCUAACUCCCAUUUGACAACUACCUGGUUUUACUAUAACUACUUAUACCACCUCUGAGUCCUACUAAUUAUAAUGGCUUUCAAUUUUUAGCAUAUUGGAUGUUUACUGCAGUUAGGCUGUAUAUUUGGGAAUGGGGGAGAAGAUUUUAAAAUAAUGUCCAUAGUCAAUGAUGAAUAAUUGACUAAAUCUCAUAACUAUAUUUUCUCCAUGAUUUUAAUGACUAUUUGAGCUUGGGGUUUGUACCGUUUUAUACUCAUUGCACGACCGUCUCUAAUUUAUUAACAUCAAAUUUUUUUACAUUUAAUUUUACAAAAUGUUUCUCGUAAAAUGUUUCUUGUAAAAUCUAAUGUACAUUAUCUUAAAAAUUUUAAGAAUUACUUUUGAUAUUGAACGGUUUAAUUGCUUUACUAACUUUUAAGAUAAUUAAUAGCUUGUUUUGUUUAUUUACUUGGAAAACUUUGUUUGCUAUAUACUAUGUACCUUUGCCAUAUUGUUGAUUGCAAUUAUGAACUUCUUUUCAAUAAACCUGUUUCUUUUUAGUUUUUAUUUCAUUUAUCUGUCCUAAAAUAUUCUUCUUUGUUGACAGUGCUUGCACCACAUCACUAGGUCCCAUCAAGACAGUCGGUUCCAGCUUCUGGGAUAUAUAUCUGAGGUUUCCUCAAAAAGCCAUGAAUGGAUACUGCGGACUGGUUGUUUCUGUUUCCUGGUGUUGUGGUUUUCUAGUGCUCUGAAUUUAGACAUUUUGACUGCGGCAUAACAAUAUCCUUAGGGUCGGUUACAAUUUACUAGAGUUUAUAGCACAUUUUUUUGGGAAUAUUACCUCAAUAUAUUCGUGCCAUUGUGAAUGUAGAAAAGUUGAACUAGAGAUUGGGUGCCUGGUUAAAUUUUAGAUAGUUUUUUUCUUGCCCGUUGUUUUUUUAUAUAUAUAUUUUUGGAUUGUAAACUUGGAUGGUUGAUAGAGAAAAUAAUAACCCUUCUCCAGGGUUACUUCUGUUGA